RNAcentral lists this ribosomal RNA (447 nucleotides) under uncultured bacterium. RNAcentral describes it as "partial 16S ribosomal RNA". It matches the Rfam family "Bacterial small subunit ribosomal RNA", at positions 338 to 795 of the family's 1533-position model. The record is from RNAcentral.
CCUACGGGGGGCUGCAGUGGGGAAUUUUGGACAAUGGGGGCAACCCUGAUCCAGCCAUUCCGCGUGAGUGAAGAAGGCCUUCGGGUUGUAAAGCUCUUUUGUCCGGAGCGAAACGGGCGGCCCUAAUACGGUCGUCUACUGACGGUACCGGAAGAAUAAGCACCGGCUAACUACGUGCCAGCAGCCGCGGUAAUACGUAGGGUGCGAGCGUUAAUCGGAAUUACUGGGCGUAAAGCGUGCGCAGGCGGUUAUCCCCGGGGCUCACCCGGGGAAUGCAUGUGGGACUGCAAGGCUGGAGUGUGGCAGAGGGGACUAGAAUUCCUGGUGUAGCAGUGAAAUGCGUAGAUAUCAGGAGGAAUACCGAUGGCGAAGGCAGGUCCCUGGGUUAACACUGACGCUCAUGCACGAAAGCGUGGGGAGCAAACAGGAUUAGAUACCCGUGUAGUC